Molecule: ribosomal RNA, 206 nt
Filed under: uncultured bacterium
Lineage: Bacteria
Description: partial 16S ribosomal RNA
Rfam family: Bacterial small subunit ribosomal RNA
Source: RNAcentral
UACGUAGGGUGCAAGCGUUAAUCGGAAUACUGGGCGUAAAGCGUGCGCAGGCGGUGAUGUAAGACAGAUGUGAAAUCCCCGGGCUCAACCUGGGAACUGCAUUUGUGACUGCAUCGCUAGAGUACGGCAGAGGGGGAUGGAAUUCCGGCGUGUAGCAGUGAAAUGCGUAGAUAUGCGGGAGGAACACCGAUGGCGAAGGCAAUCCC